RNAcentral lists this small nuclear RNA (22 nucleotides) under Arabidopsis thaliana (thale cress). RNAcentral's name for it is "snRNA_01272". Lineage: Eukaryota; Viridiplantae; Streptophyta; Magnoliopsida; Brassicales; Brassicaceae. The record is from RNAcentral.
AACAUAUUUCCACCGGAAUCUU